RNAcentral lists this ribosomal RNA (629 nucleotides) under Comamonadaceae bacterium. Its description in RNAcentral is "bacterial SSU rRNA". It matches the Rfam family "Bacterial small subunit ribosomal RNA", at positions 54 to 676 of the family's 1533-position model. Lineage: Bacteria; Pseudomonadati; Pseudomonadota; Betaproteobacteria; Burkholderiales; Comamonadaceae. The record is from RNAcentral.
AUUGCAGUUCGAACGGUAGAAGUUAGCAAUACUCGAGAAGUGGCGAACGGGUGAGUAAUAUAUCGGAACGUGCCCAGUCGUGGGGGAUAACGUAGAGAAAUUUACGCUAAUACCGCAUACGAUCUAAGGAUGAAAGCGGGGGAUUCGCAAGAACCUCGCGCGAUUGGAGCGGCUGAUAUCAGAUUAGGUUGUUGGUGAGGUAAAAGCUCACCAAGCCGACGAUCUGUAGCUGGUUUGAGAGAACGACCAGCCACACUGGGACUGAGACACGGCCCAGACUCCUACGGGAGGCAGCAGUGGGGAAUUUUGGACAAUGGGCGAAAGCCUGAUCCAGCAAUGCCGCGUGCAGGAAGAAGGCCUUCGGGUUGUAAACUGCUUUUGUACGGAACGAAAAGGCUCUUUCUAUUAUAGAGGGCCCAUGACGGUACCGUAAGAGUAAGCACCGGCUAACUACGUGUCCGCAGCCGCGGUAUUACGUAGGGUGCGAGCGUUUAUCUCAAUUACUGUGCGUGUAGCGUGCGCGCGCGCUUCUCUAUGACAGAUAUGUGAUCUCCCCGCUCUCACUGUGAAAAUGGCAUUUGAGACUGCACAGGUAGAGCACUUUAGAGGGUGGAUGUAAUUCCGGGUGU